Long non-coding RNA from Salvia miltiorrhiza (redroot sage), 922 nucleotides. RefSeq lists it as uncharacterized. The transcript is spliced from 2 exons. NCBI's taxonomy places the organism in Eukaryota, Viridiplantae, Streptophyta, Magnoliopsida, Lamiales, Lamiaceae. The record is from RefSeq and is a predicted model, not a curated record.
UAUUAAAAUUAAAAAAAUACCCACUUCUAAUCCCUAUCACUCUCUCUCUCUCUCUCUCAAUCUGAAAAACGUCUCUCUCUCUCUCUCUCUCUCUCUCCCCCCCCUUUCUUUCUCUCUUCCGGCGAUCAGAUCUCCGCCGCCGCCCUCGACUUCCCGGCCACCGCUCGCCAGUCGUCUCUCCUCUCGUUGUCGAUCGAUCUGUUCUGCCGCUCGCCGGUCGUCUCUUCCCUAGAAAUUGGACAAUUCGUCCAUGAAAUUGAGCAUAGUCGAUGUGGAAACCCUAGGAGCCGGAUUCUCGGAGACGUAGCGGUUGAGGUCGGCGUCGUCAUCGUAAUUGAGGAAAUUGGCGACGGCGGCGAUGAAGCUGGAUUUCCCGGUGCCAGAAGGGCGUAGAGGAGGUAGCUCCGCCGUUCUCAUUUAUCGCUAGUCGCCACUUCUCACUUCUCUUCGUCCGAUCGCUGCCUCUCCGGGACUCCGGCCAUCCGCCGUUCGCCUCGUCUGUCGCCGCCUCUAUCAGAAAUUGACAUCCCCCUAUUCGAUUUGACGAUUUUCGUCGACGCUCGCCUCCACUGUUCAAUCAACGCAUCGCAUCGCGCCGUCGCCACCGCCCACUGGUGCACUGCCCAUCUUUUUCCGUCUCCGGUCGAAUUUAGUUGCAGUUGAGAUCAAAACUGCAAUGGUUAACAUUUGGUACGGGCCGGGUGAACUAUUUUCAGCAAGGUGAAUGCUAGAAUUUAAAUCAAUUUCUUGAAAAGGUGAGUGAUUUUGUAAGUUUAAAUUCAUCGUGCUUAAUUUCUUUUGUUUAUGAGAAUAUGUGAGUUUCUUCGUUGAUUGACAUCGUGCAAUCAAAACUUUUGAUUCUUUAAAAAUCUUGGAAGUUUUAUACAUAUAAAUAAAGGUAUGCAUGUAAAUUAUACUCCUC